UGCUUAACACAUGCAAGUCGAACGGGGAUAGCGACGGAAGUCCUUCGGGGUGGAAGAUGCUAUUCGAGUGGCGGACGGGUGAGUAACGCGUGAACAAUCUGUCCCAGACAGGGGGAUAACACUUGGAAACAGGUGCUAAUACCGCAUGAGACCACAGCGUCACAUGGCGCAGGGGUAAAAGGAGCGAUCCGGUUUGGGGUGAGUUCGCGUCCGAUUAGCCAGUUGGCGGGGUAACGGCCCACCAAAGCGACGAUCGGUAGCCGAUCUGAGAGGAUGACCGGCCACAUUGGAACUGAGAGACGGUCCAAACUCCUACGGGAGGCAGGCAGUGGGGAAUAUUGGGCGAAUGGGCGAAAGCCCUGACCCAGCAACGCCGCGUGAGUGAAGAAGGCCUUCGGGUUGUAAAGCUCUGUUAUAGGGGACGAAGGAAGUGACGGUACCCUAUAAGGAAGCCCCGGCUAACUACGUGCCAGCCGCUGC
Molecule: ribosomal RNA, 480 nt
Filed under: uncultured bacterium
Lineage: Bacteria
Description: bacterial SSU rRNA
Rfam family: Bacterial small subunit ribosomal RNA
Source: RNAcentral